RNAcentral lists this ribosomal RNA (363 nucleotides) under uncultured Leptothrix sp. RNAcentral's name for it is "bacterial SSU rRNA". It matches the Rfam family "Bacterial small subunit ribosomal RNA", at positions 1 to 370 of the family's 1533-position model. Lineage: Bacteria; Pseudomonadati; Pseudomonadota; Betaproteobacteria; Burkholderiales; Sphaerotilaceae. The record is from RNAcentral.
UCUAUACUAUAGAGUUUGAUCCUGGCUCAGAUUGAACGCUGGCGGCAUGCCUUACACAUGCAAGUCGAACGGUAACAGGUUAAGCUGACGAGUGGCGAACGGGUGAGUAAUAUAUCGGAACGUGCCCAGUAGUGGGGAUGAGCCCGGCGAAAGCCGGAUUAAUACCGCAUACGACCUACGGGUGAAAGCGGGGAGUCGCAAGACCUCGCGCUAUUGGAGCGGCCGAUAUCAGAUUAGCUAGUUGGUGGGGUAAAAGCCCACCAAGGCGACGAUCUGUAGCUGGUCUGAGAGGACGACCAGCCACACUGGGACUGAGACACGGCCCAGACUCCUACGGGAGGCAGCAGUGGGGAAUUUUGGACA